Molecule: non-coding RNA, 1817 nt
Organism: Callithrix jacchus (white-tufted-ear marmoset)
Lineage: Eukaryota; Metazoa; Chordata; Mammalia; Primates; Cebidae
Source: RefSeq, a predicted model, not a curated record
GGUAACUAGCAAGGGAAGAAAAGGGGAAUGUGGCAGUAGCGAAGCAAGCAGGGGUCAGGGAAGCCGGAGGCCGAGAGGGUCAGAGCGGGGGCCAAGGGGACCGGCAUUGCUGCGGCAGCGAACCGGGAGGCAAAAGGGGCAUGUUGAAGAAAAAGCCAAACUCUGUAAAUAUUUGAAGAGAUUUAUUCUGCACCAAAUGUGAAGACCAUGACACGUGACACAACCUCAGAAGGUCCUGAGAUCAUGUGCCCGAGGAGGCUGGAGUGCAAUGGUGCAAUCUCAGCUCACCGCAACCUCUGCCUCCCGGGUUCAAGCAAUUCUCCUGCCUCAGCCUCCCGAGUAGCUGGGACUACAGGAUGAAACACACUUGGAUAUGAAGAAUAUUAAACUAAUAUUGGGAAAGAAGAGAUGGCAGAGAUAUGUUGAAAGUAGACUGAUGGAAGAGACUGACAAAAGCAGAAAAAUGAAUCUGCUAUUUACAAACUACGUCCCCAAAGAGAUAAAGAGAAAUGCUGGAGAAACCCAAGGAAUCUAGAAUCUAACACUACAAAUAUCACACCAGUCUGCACAUUAGUGUGCACCAACUGAACUUUGCAAAGAAGGACGACUAAGCCCCAGUUUCCUGGAAACUCACUGAACAGACAGGCCAAAAGAGCCUUCAAAACAAGCCAGAAAAGGAGUGUGGCCCUGCUGACUUGGAGCUGUACACCAGGAGCAAUACUGGUUAACAGCAUGCCUUCUAUAGCCAGAAAAACAAGAGUCCAAUAUCCAGUUCUGCCACUUAACUUCUCUGGGCCUCAGUUGUCUCACCUAUAAAUAGGGAUAAUAAUAAAAUAACCUACACCACAAAGGUGGGCCAAAAUUAAAUUACUCAAUGUACAUAAAGUGCUUGGAACAGUGCUGGACACAUUGCCAGUGUUUGAUAGGUUUUAGUCAUUAAUGUUGUUGCUGUUGCUGCAGCAAGAAUGCGCUGGAAGUGAUGUGAAGUCUAAACUUCUCAUUUACAAGAAAACAGCAUGAGAUCCAGAGAGAAGUCGGGUGUAGCUCCAGGUCACCAGCAAGCUCAUAGCAGAGCUCAGAACAGAAACCAGAUCUCUUGAGUUCUAUGCUCUUUCUACUAUACAACAUUAACUUUCAGAAGGGUGGCUUCCUAACUUCUUAGAUCACAUUCCACAGGGGGAAAAAAGAGAAAAUCUCAAACAUGGUAUUACAUGCUUUGUAUAGAAAAACAAAAAUAAGGAUGACAACAGAUUUUUCAUGAGAAAUGAUGCAGGGACUCCAUGUUUGGGUCCCGUUCCAUGAACACUCUGUGGAAGCCAUCUUUCUCUUUCCUGGAUUUCCCCUCUGGGGUCCCCUUCCACACUCUCUUGUGGAAGCCUGUCUUCCGCUCCUAAACUCCAGCUGUCUCUACUCCCUUUCACUCAGUGUGUAAGCUGCUUUCCUCUCCUGGAUCCCAUCUUUCUGGAUUCUCUCACUCAGCGUGAGAGUUAGCUGUUUCUUUCUCUCCCCUCCUGUUUCUCUCUCUCUCUAAAUAAAUCACUUUCUACAAACAACAACAACAACAACAAAAAGAGAAAUGAUGCAAAUGAGAGGACAGUGAAGCAACAUCUUUAAAGCACUGAAAAAAAUGUCAGGUUGGAAUUCCAUACCAAGUGAAAAUAUGUCUCAAAAAUGAAAGCAGAGGAUAGUGGCACUUCUGCUUUAGGGAAGAUGGAGUUGAUGUAUUUUUCCCUGAUCCUCCUGCCAAGUACAACAAAAGUCCUUGAAAUUAUAUACAAAACAAAUCUGAAAAGGUAGAGAGAAGAAGGCAGACUGGC